AUUUUUUUGUUUGCCAUUGUUUGGCCCUGUAGCUUGCACACCUCACAGCCUACCAUGAUUAACAGAUCACAACCAUUUAAUACCAAUUUCUCUCCCUUAGCACCUGACCAUGAGGCAGGACAGCAACACCCUUCACCACCUCAACUCCCUACACCCGCAUUUAACAUGCAGAGAGUUACACAAGAAAUGGCAGUCCCUCCACAACUCCCUCCACACCAGCCCUCAACAUGCGGCGAACAGAGGAAGCCUGUUCCAGCCUGACAUACAGACCAACAUGGCGAGGGGGAAGAAUGGCCAAUACCAUUCCCUGCUCUGGUGAGCAAUAACUGACAAAUACUGGGGGGUCAUUCUGUGCCAAAGAUUUUGUAAAAAAAAAAAAAAGUCCCACAACCAUCACAUAUUUUCUUCAAACUUUGACAAUAACUUUUGUCAUUAACUAAUAUCAGUACUAUGAGUAAUGAGGAUAAACACUGAAACGUGAUAUAUUUUAUAUUUUAUACACUACGUUUUAGCUAUAUUUCAUGUUUGUCAACAGUGGCUGAGGUCCACAUCCUUAGCCUGCUGGAAACCAUUAAACAGCAACAAGACCAGCUUGUGGCAAAGGUGAACUACCUCAGCAGCAGGCUGAACAGCACCCUGAAAAUAUGCCUGAAAAUAUCCAGUUUCCCCUGGAACAAUUGGAGGCAGUGGAGGCAUUUGAAAUGUUUUUAAAGGAACCGUCAAAUGGCCCGGCUCGACAGAGAGUGGUGAGUUUUCUUAUUUAAUAUGAAUGGUGCCAUUAGGUUUAUUGAUUGUCCAUGAUUAUUGCAAAUAUUCUAUUGUAUUUAUUCUAUUGUAUUUAUUUGUCCUAUUUGUAAUUCGAUUAUUUGUUCUUAUUUUGUUACUGACUGCUUGUCUUUACUAAUGUUUUAAAUUCACAUUAAUUAGGCUGGUAGUUUUUGUUGUAGUUUUGUUGUAGACCUUGCUUUUCAGUAAUUAUAUAAUACAAAGUAAUAUUAAAUACGUUCAAAGUCACUAGUUUGUAAAUGUUAGGGCAGCCUUAAAAAUCGGAGCAACCAUCUUACCAAUAUGACCGUGUAGCCUUUUUUUUUUUUUUAGAAUGGCUACUAUACCAUAGACUUUUUUGACAUUUUGUGAUGUAUCUAUUCAAAGA
Molecule: long non-coding RNA, 1153 nt
Organism: Cyprinus carpio (common carp)
Lineage: Eukaryota; Metazoa; Chordata; Actinopteri; Cypriniformes; Cyprinidae
Source: Ensembl